This is a long non-coding RNA of Sinocyclocheilus grahami, 161 nucleotides long. RefSeq lists it as uncharacterized. Lineage: Eukaryota; Metazoa; Chordata; Actinopteri; Cypriniformes; Cyprinidae. The record is from RefSeq and is a predicted model, not a curated record. The transcript is spliced from 3 exons.
GUAUAGCAGCUGAUAAUACAUUGAACGUGCGUGCAGCAUGCCGCUCGAGUCAAGAACCGGUUGCAUCGGUUUUCGGAUCACCAGUAUACUGAACUUAGAACCGUUUCUUUCAGACAUGUCCGAUUUGAGAACCGAUGAGCUGAUGAUACUGCGCAUGCGUG